UUUUCUUCAAGAUUGGUUUAGAAACAAAUUUGGAGUAGGGUUAGGUUAGGGUUAGAGUUGGUGUUUGGAGUAGGGUUAGUGUUAGUAAAACCGUUGCUUUGUUACGUUUUGUCACUCUGAGACCAGCGAAAUAAUCUCUUCCCGAAAAUGGCGGCAAUAAUUGAUGAAAGUAACGGAAAAACGUAAACAAAAGUGCGCAGUUCAUUGUGGUUGACCAGGACUCUUUAUGUACAAGCAUGGAUU
Paramuricea clavata is the source of this 243-nucleotide non-coding RNA. The record is from the annotation of a GenBank genome assembly. NCBI's taxonomy places the organism in Eukaryota, Metazoa, Cnidaria, Anthozoa, Malacalcyonacea, Plexauridae.